Delphinapterus leucas (beluga whale) is the source of this 1098-nucleotide non-coding RNA. NCBI's taxonomy places the organism in Eukaryota, Metazoa, Chordata, Mammalia, Artiodactyla, Monodontidae. The record is from RefSeq and is a predicted model, not a curated record.
ACUUUAUCUUACACAACUUUGAUAUUUUUGAGAAAUCUAGUCUGCAGUUGUUUUGUAGCUGAACCUCAAUUUGGAUUUGUUUGAUUGUUUUCUCAUGAUUAGAUUCCAGUUAAAUUUUGGGGGACAAGAAUCCUACAUGGGUGAUGUUGGGUACUUCUCAGUGCAUCAUAUCAAAAGACACACAAUGUGUAGAUUUGCCUCCUUAUUGGGGACCAGGCACUUUUCUAAGUACUUAACACAUUUAAUUUUAAAACAAUUUAUGUUGUAGGUAUUUCUUUUAUUUCUUAUGGGUUCCAGUACUUUGUAAGGAUGCUGAGAGAUUGUGUCUUGUCUAACUAAGGUCAGCUAUCUAGUAAAUAGUAUAGAGCAGAGUUCUGAGCUCAGUUGUUCUAGAAUCUGCAUACUUAACCACUAACUAACAUUGUAAAGAGACUGAUAACUGAUUUUGUGAUUUUUAUCUUUUACCUACAGGGCAUAUAAGUGGAAUCCAGGAGAUUGAUCUUGAGGCUUGUCGUGAGAAUUCCUUUGGAGAGAGCUGUCAUUGUGCUGUGCAUUCCACUUCUGCCACCCCCAGGCAAGAGUGGUAGAGAGUCAGAGAAUCAUUUAGAGAACUUGACAUGGAGUUUGAGGGACAGAUAGACUGGUACCUGACUCAUCCUAAAAAAGUCAAAAGAACGGUUAUAGGAGCAGAGUCGAUCUGGAAAAGAGUUUUCUCCUCCUACCAUCAUCUCAAAUAGAGAAGGGCCUCCACUGGAAUGCCUCACGACUGUCUGAGAGUACCCCUAACAGAAGGACGAGUGAAAAAUUUUAAAACCCUACAAAGAGAAAAACUCAAAAGAAUUUAGAUUUUCUGAAAAGUGAGACAAUUCCAGUGUAACUUUUCUGAUAUGACCUGACUUACAAUACAAGCUACAGACAAAGCAAUGAAGCUUUCUGCAGAAUACUCUUUUUUUCUUUCCUUUCUUUAAACCAUUUUCUUGAGAUAUAAUUCAUGUACCAUACAAUUCAUCCAUUUAAAAUGUACAAUUCAAUGGUUUUUGAUAUAUAACGUUAUUAAUGUUGAAAAGUAAUAGUAAAAUAAAUAUAGCAUAAAGUUUG